Molecule: small nucleolar RNA, 138 nt
Organism: Tachyglossus aculeatus (Australian echidna)
Lineage: Eukaryota; Metazoa; Chordata; Mammalia; Monotremata; Tachyglossidae
Source: RefSeq, a predicted model, not a curated record
ACCCUCUCAGGGUCGCACCUGGAGAGUUUCCAGUACUUUACCAGUCUUGACUUUGAGAGGGAGAGUCAAGCAGAAGCAUACCAAUUCCAUGCCUAGCUUGUCCAGUGGCUAGUGAGUGAAAGGCAAUCUGCUACAAGU